GUUUAUAAGAUGCUGUUGGCAGUAGCUGGAUUUCUCAGCGCUGAACACUUGAGCUGGGCAUGGUGGGAGCGGCUGGUUAGCCAUUUGUCAGGCAAAGUCAAAACAGCCCUCCAGCUACAGCACAGACGGCAGUCUGCAGCUCGUCAGCAUUUUAUUUAUGACUCUUAAUUAGCAAGCAAAAAAGGAGGGAAGAAGUUCCCAGUUUGGGAUAUACAUACUUAUACAUACAUAUUUUGCCCAGAAAUUAUCUUUGUCAAAAUAAUUUAAAUCCUUACAACCCUGGGAUGUAGAUAUUAUAAUUUACAUUUUAUAGACAGGAAAUUCCAUCCUGCAAGGUUUUUGUUUUUUAAGUCCUGUGAAAUCCAAAGGACAAAGUGUGUCUAUUUAUUCUCAAGGAUUCCAAGCCUCACUAAAGGAUGAACUGGAAGGCCACAGCUUCCAAACCCUCUGAGGAGGUGUGGUUGGCAUUGUGGAGAUGGCCAGUAUUUCUGGUUCUCUCCUCCUGCAGGGACAUGAAAAGAUCGCACUUCUCCAUCCCCCUGAAGGGUUUGAGCAACCCACCAGGGCAGCAGUACUCUGCCACCAGGGCAUCCAGCAUCAUGGAGCCUCAGAGAACACUGCUGCUCCUUCUUUUGCAUGGAGAAAGGGGCAAAAGCAUAAGAAGAUGUUCUAGGUUCACUGAUACUUUCCAGCCCCCACCCUGGAAUCAGCCAUUGGCCAUUUCUCCAAGGACCCCUGGCUUCUUUUAGUGCAGGAUGGUAUUUAGAAACCAACAUCUG
This 779-nucleotide long non-coding RNA is filed under the name Equus caballus (horse). Its description in RNAcentral is "lncRNA (ENSECAG00000050546.1)". The record is from RNAcentral. Lineage: Eukaryota; Metazoa; Chordata; Mammalia; Perissodactyla; Equidae.